This 3642-nucleotide long non-coding RNA is filed under the name Setaria italica (foxtail millet). RNAcentral describes it as "long non-coding RNA (SITA_LNC000950)". The record is from RNAcentral. Lineage: Eukaryota; Viridiplantae; Streptophyta; Magnoliopsida; Poales; Poaceae.
GCUCCUCCUUGCCGCCAGCUCCUUCGCCGCGGCCAAUGCCAAGGCUACACCCCCGUCUGCCACCGCGGCGGCAGGCGCCCGCGCCGGCUCCCCUGCCCCGGUUCCGACGCCGUGGCCGGAGCAGUUCCACGCGGUGAUUUUCACGAACCUCACCGAGAGCGGCGGCCGGCUGCAGCUGAUAGACAUCUACUACGACUGGCCCAAGGGCCGCAACCUCAACCUCAUCCACAACCAGCUCUCCGGCGACCCGACCUACAACGUCGAGUGGGCCAACGGCACCUCCUACCUCUUCGACGCCGCGUCCUGCUGGACCUUCCACUUCGCCGUGGGCCUCCUGCCGCCCGACUGGAUGAAGGCCCGCGGCGCCGCCUACCUGGGCCGCGGCCGCCUCGACGGCUUCGACUGCCACGUCUGGUCCAACUUCCUCUUCGCACGCUACUACGAGGACGCCGCCACCGGCCGCCCCGUCGGAUGGAACUUCAACGGUCGGUGUUCAACUAAUUACGACCUGCAAAUCCCCGUCUUGAAUUAGUUUCUUGAUUAUUCUGCCUAGAAUUAUUCUAAAUUCUCUCCGUUCUGCGGAUGGUCAGUACGAAUGAAUCAGCUUGAUGAAGCUAGCAGAACAAGUUUAUGAUGAUUGCUUCAUGUGAUCUUUGUUUUCCAGGGAUGUUGCGGCAUGUGCUGAGCUUUGAGGCAGGGGCAGUGCUGUCGGACUCCGGCAAGUGGCAGGCGCCGGCUUACUGCUUCAAUGGCAGCAACGCCGACGCCCCUGCUCCUUCUCCGGUUGAUCAGCUGAUUCGCCGGGGCUCCGGCAGCAGCUAAAGGUCCUCCACAGUGUGUUGCCAGAGUGAUGCAAAAUACUAUUUUCCAUACCAUUCAAUAGGAAAUCUGGCACCCCCACUCCCUUUGGCAGCAUCUACUAAUUUGGAACUUAAUUUGAAAGCGAUAUUUCGACCCGGACACUUUUGGAUGCUUCUAAUAACCAACGAAUAGCAAGUGCUCUUCCUUGUUUAGAUCCUAUUUCAAUCGGAACUUUCCGCGUCGAUCCUUUUUUAUUACGUCUUGUUUUUACUCCUAUAUUGGGAGUUACUCUACGUAUUGCUUGACGUAAAACCAAUAGUGGAUUUGUUUCUGUCUUUUGUUGAAUCUUUUUCACAGGCUCGAUAGAGAAGUUGAUAAGCCAAUGAUUUUUUUCCGUCUUUCAUAAUACGGUUAACCACCAUGUUAACUAAUCGAUUACGAAAAAUUGGAUCGGGUUUUGCGGUUCUUUUUUCUGCAGUACCUCGACGUGACAUGAACCUAUUGGGAAUUAGUCCUACACUUGUCCUAUCAUACCUUCUUCGUGUAUACGAAGUAGUAGACUUGACUAACUCAAUUCUUAGGAAAUCGCGAAUCAGAUCAUUUGUUCUUACCUCAACAAGAGCUCUGUUGCCAAAGAAUAAGUAGUUGAUAGCAAAAAACAGUUCAAGGCAGAAGUCUCUUGAGAAUGCAAAAGGCCUGCAAACCUAGUUCACACGAGUGGAUUCUUUCACAGCUCGUGCACCGAUUUUAUCCAGAUUUUGACUCUUUUCUUUGCCAGGUUAGUUGAUCAAUGCGAAUUGUCAAGGUAAGUUGUUGAUCAAAUCCAAAUUGACCAUGCAACGCACCACUAACUUUCCCAAAUGGGUCAACGAAAAGUGCCACCCAAUGUUCUAGUACGAGUACAUCCAGUUCCGGGUGGUCAUCUAGUAUGGGACCUAAGAGAAACCCUUUUUGAAUCCUUUUAUUAAGCCAUUGCUAAUCCCGUAAGGCAAUCCUUCAACGUUGUAGAAAAGAGUUCAAUACAAAAGCAUAGAAAUUAUGUACGCCAAUAACAAAUACGAAUACGAAUUACGCCUACGAGCCUACGCAUUGGCAUGUUUCUUAGUAUAAAGCUAAGAACGAGAAUAGCCUACUGCCUCCACUCGGAAAAGGUAUCUGGUUCCUUUCAUCCAAAGAAAAUAAGGAUACGCAGAUCGAUGCAAAUCACAGCUAAGGGAAUCUUUUCCUAUAACUGCUAACGGCGGACCGUGUCUUUUAGCCCUCACUAGAUGACAACUUGCUUACUUUUUCACUUCUUCUUAAGCUUGGCAGACUAGUUCCUGACUGACUUGAUAGUGCGAUGAGCUUACUUGCUCUAGUUCCGUCUUUCCUCGCUAGGACGACGAAUUCACUCUAUCUGAAGAUCUGAGAAAGGCGCUGAUUACAGCUCUGUCCUUGGAUGGACCAUAGGCCUGAUGCUAGGAGAGUGUAGUUCGAGCAUUCUAUUGUGUGUUCGUGAUACGCAAAGCAAUCUCCUGUUUACUAAUGAUCUAAUGACAGUUGAUUGAGACUUGCCAUUGUCGUCUUUCGAAAGCGAACUCUUAUCUGGUUUCACUCGGGGUCUCCUGUCGACGGGAAGUGCUCGGUUCGGAUAACUUCUGUUUCCGUACCGGGAUCAGCAGGAGGGGAAUUUGAGGUUCUUGGUCCUCUGCGAAAUCAGUCCGCCAACUUGCUCUUUUCGUGCAUGACAGGUGCUCAUUCUUACGAAUGGUGGUGUGGCACAGCCCUUUACAUUUUCAAAAAAGCAGGAGCAACUUUCCACCUCGACUCCUUCCUUCCCCUCAUUCUAAGCCCGGCCACCUUUUCUUGUUUCAGUAGUUCUCCCCGCGAGCUCCUCCUGCAACUCCUCGAGAUCUAUUUUACAACUUUGCCCCAUGCCUGGACCAGUGGGCCCUCAAAUCAUGAACUAAUUAGGCUUAAUAGAUUCGUCUCGCGAAUUAGACUUCAUCUGUACAAUUAGUUUUUUAAUUAGACUAUAUUUAAUACUUCUAAUUAGUAUUUGAACAUACGAUGUGACAAGAAUUUAUCCGAACACCUCCUCGAGAUCUAUUUUACAACUUUACCGGACCAGUGGGCCCCACGGCUUUCUCCACCACUCGGUCACUUCAGCUUCGACUGGUCAGUAGCACUCGCCAAGCGAUAAGCUCGGGGCAAGCCGCAACAGCCGCCGAUGUUGCCGCCGCCGCCGCCGCCGCCGCCGCCCCUUAUGCUUCUCCCGCUCCUCCUUGCCGCCAGCUCCUUCGCCGCGGCCAAUGCCAAGGCUACACCCCCGUCUGCCACCGCGGCGGCAGGCGCCCGCGCCGGCUCCCCUGCCCCGGUUCCGACGCCGUGGCCGGAGCAGUUCCACGCGGUGAUUUUCACGAACCUCACCGAGAGCGGCGGCCGGCUGCAGCUGAUAGACAUCUACUACGACUGGCCCAAGGGCCGCAACCUCAACCUCAUCCACAACCAGCUCUCCGGCGACCCGACCUACAACGUCGAGUGGGCCAACGGCACCUCCUACCUCUUCGACGCCGCGUCCUGCUGGACCUUCCACUUCGCCGUGGGCCUCCUGCCGCCCGACUGGAUGAAGGCCCGCGGCGCCGCCUACCUGGGCCGCGGCCGCCUCGACGGCUUCGACUGCCACGUCUGGUCCAACUUCCUCUUCGCACGCUACUACGAGGACGCCGCCACCGGCCGCCCCGUCGGAUGGAACUUCAACGGUCGGUGUUCAACUAAUUACGACCUGCAAAUCCCCGUCUUGAAUUAGUUUCUUGAUUAUUCUGCCUAGAAUUAUUCUAAAUUCUCUCCGUUCUGCGGAUG